UACGAAGGGGGCGAGCGUUGUUCGGAAUUACUGGGCGUAAAGCGCGUGUAGGCGGUUGUUCAAGUCGGGUGUGAAAGCCUUGAGCUCAACUCAAGAAAUGCACUCGAUACUGGAUGACUUGAGGACCGGAGAGGAUAGUGGAAUUCCCAGUGUAGUGGUGAAAUACGUAGAGAUUGGGAAGAACACCAGUGGCGAAGGCGGCUAUCUGGACGGUUUCUGACGCUAAGACGCGAAAGCGUGGGGAGCAAACAGG
This 253-nucleotide ribosomal RNA is filed under the name uncultured bacterium. RNAcentral describes it as "partial 16S ribosomal RNA". It matches the Rfam family "Bacterial small subunit ribosomal RNA", at positions 524 to 776 of the family's 1533-position model. The record is from RNAcentral.